CUCUCAGUUCGUAAGUUUGAUUAUUUCUGCAGUUGGCUAGAUAACGGUUACAUGGAUUGUUUGGGACCACGAUUUUUUUCAGCUCGUUGCAUGCUGCCUUUUCCCUUCUUUCUUUUAGUGUGGGGAGCCUCUUUCUCCUGCCCUAGGAUUCUCAGGCUUCUUUGUUGAACGUGUUCAAUUUCUGUUUCGAGUUAUUUAGGGAUCCCCCCCCUGACUGGCGAAGC
Molecule: non-coding RNA, 224 nt
Organism: Paramuricea clavata
Lineage: Eukaryota; Metazoa; Cnidaria; Anthozoa; Malacalcyonacea; Plexauridae
Source: the annotation of a GenBank genome assembly